UGAGCGCCCCCCCCCCCCUUUUUUCCUCUCCUUCCCCGGCCCAGGCCCAGCUCCAGAUCUCAUACCCUCCAUCCUCCCACCCCAACCCCCAAAUAUCGGCGCGCACUCACUCCGCUAAACAAAGUUUAGCUAAGACUUUAUCCGAGGCAAGAAGGGGCCAGAGGAGGGAGAAGAGGCGGCCGCCGCCCCCAGGAGAACACCCGCCUCCUUUCUCUUCCUUGUCGCUCUUGCCAGCUGCAGUCGAGUUUGGGGGGAAAGGGGGGAGUGUGAAGCGGUCGUCCUUCCCCCCACCCCCCCAACACACACACACCCUUCUGCCGUCCGUUGGGGUGUUGGUUGGGGUGUGUAUGUGCCUGUGUUCUGUUGGGAAAGGAGGGUAUCCUCGCUUUUUCGUAGAUUGGAUAGCCUGGUCCUGUGAGGGGUGGUGCAGACUCUGGUCGCGGAGGCUGCUGCGCCUUCUUCUGGGGGUACUGCAGAGGCUACCCGCGGGUUCCUCCGUGGGGGGAAGUCCCGGCCUUGAUCCCUACCUCCUCUCCUUUUUCUUUCUCCUCCUUCUCUGGCCCUCCCUCCCGAUACUGCAGUGUGAAACAACGUUCAGAAUACGGUACACGAAAGUCUCCUCCGUUGAUGGAGCUCCCUCUCCUUGUGUGUGCCUCUCUUCCUCCCCUUUACUCCUCCCUGCGCAUAUAAAUCAAUUUCAGCUCCCGAAUAUGUCAGCGCUGGGGAAGUUGCAUACUGUAGUUACUCAUUUAUUUGCCUAUUGAAAACGGUCAAAGGCUUCUCUUUCCCCUCAAGGAAAAGGAGCCCAAGGAGCCCGAAUGGGGGAGCUGCUGGUUGCUGGGGGCCCCAUAUUUGCUAUUGGUUUCGAGAUCAGAUAACUGCUGCCUUUUUGAUCCUGGAGCUGGACAUUUUUUUUUUUUGAUCACACUGAUUAUUCUGCUAAUGCUUAAGCAGCGUUUUGUGUAUUAGGCUGCCCCCAACCCAUCCACACCCCUUCUAGUUUUAUACUGACAUAGGUAGCCCUCAGGGAAAAGAGCCCUGUAAGCUUUCUUAGUUUGGUUAGCUCCUGUUGGUGGAUGUCAGCCUAAAUCCCGGCUUUCUUGCCUUUCCCUCCCAAGGUUGACCACACUGCCCAGGAAGGGGAGGAACGGAGGAGAGGGGAAAGAGAUAAAGCUAAUUUUAUUUGGCUAUUGCAGCAAAGCUUAGAGAAGUUCAAGUAGAUGCCAAGGGAAAGAGGAAUCCCCUUUGAGCUGUAGAUGAUGCUAUUUGGUACCGUUUUGCUGAAUAAGUCGUAAAGUCAGAAACACUCCCUGCCAUUGGAAGACUAGGGGAAUGGUACAGGAGGGGAAAAGGGAAAACUAGCCCCCUUCUCUUUGUCAGUUUCCUCCACAGUUCACUUGGGAGGUGGUGAGAGAUUUCAGUGGAUUUUUAAAAUUGGUUACAUUUAUUAAACAACAAACAGGGAGUUCAGAGUACCUUUCUUUUUCAGGAAUGGUUUGUCAAAUUAUAAGACAAAAAUUGUUAUAGUAACUGUUCAUUUUUCCUUUAUCUGGGAAUAGAUUUUAUUUAUUCCUUGUCUUUGUUUUUGAAAGUCUGGACAAUUCUGGGAAGUCAGAAGUAGUCAGAAGGUUUGGAAGCUAAUAGCCUAAGGAUGAUAGGAAACUUUUUAAAUGAGGCCAGGAUCCUGUAAAGAACAGGGGGAGAGGAGACAGAUUGCCCUUAUGGCAUUGACUUAGCUCAGGUUCGUUUAUUUAUUUGAUAUGUACUACCAUGGAAUGAAACAUUUAGUAUCAGUUUCUGACAUGAGUAAAGUUUUUACAGUACUUCUAAGUACAGAUCUUCUGGCAAAGUGUUUGUUGUUAUCCAGAAUGUAUAUUUGACUUCCCAUUUUAAAAAUUUAUCUACAGAGAAAAUGUAAAGUAAGAAAAUUGUGACUGCACAGGAAAAAUUGCUUUCAUCUCAGAAAGGGAUUAUUUGCUUUGGCUUUAAUUUUUUUUACAGGUACUUGACAUCUGCUUCUAACUUAGUUUUGUUUCUUCUCCCUUGAAUCUGGUGAAAGGAUGAAAAUUUACAAGUAAUCAAAUGUUUUGGCCACAUUUUUUACCAUGCCACAGUAUGGAGUUCUUUUGGCAGUGCUGGUGAGCAUUUCAUUCCUCUGAAGUGAUGCAAUUUCUAAAUAGCAUCAUUUCCACUGGUAACACUCCAUGCAUUUGGUAUUAUGGAAAAUGCUUGGAAGAGUUUUUCGACAUGAUUAGAUUUCAAUUACUGUUCGGUAGCAAUGCAUUUAAUUCUAGCAGGUUUGUUUUCAACUACCAAAAGUAGCACUUCAGAAUCUUUCUGAAAAUUUUAAAAGAAGCAAGACAUUUCUGUUUCCAAAUUGAAGAAAUUCAAAGUUUGUUCCAAAGAAACAGAUUCAGAUUAUACCUGAUUUGAUCAUGCCAUCAAAAACUAUAUUGGUAGUUGAUCAGAUUGAUUUUUUCUUUAAGACUAGCCAUAUAUUGUAAAUUUCAGUUGACUUCAGAGCUUAUUACUACUCUUUUGCUGAAAAAAAAUAGGAUAAGGAAGUACUAUUGUUCUCCUUUGUGCAGAACUGAAAGAAAAUCUUUACUGUGCUUACAAUUGCCUAGAAGAUACUAGUUUUUCUCUCUUCAUUUCUGUUGAUUUGCAAGAAAUUCCAUAGUGACAGGUGUUUCACCAUUUCCCAGUUUUAUUCAGAUAUUCAUCAGGCGGAAAUAUAGUAAUUAUUGUAUCCAACAUUAACAAAUAUUCUAUAUAUUUUGUUCAUGUUAGUGUCUUUCUUUGCUGCAAUUUUUGCACUGAAAUGACCCCUACUGGUUGUAUCUGUUAAUGUAAACUCCUUUAAAAUAUAUCUAUUUUUUUUAUUAUUCCUUUUGGCUUCAAUAAGAAAACAUAUUAUGUGUAACAUAGAAAUAUUAUCAUAUUUCACUUACCUGUUUCCAAAAAGCAGAUUAUUUAGGUUAGAGUACUGUAUGUGCAGCUUCAUAAUAAUUUUAAUUAUUGCUUCUCACAUGCUUUGUAAAGUUAGUAUUUUUAACCAUACUCUAUCUAAAAAUGAGGAACUGAUCAUCUAAUAAGGCUAAGUAACUUGAUCAGGGUCACAUAAAUUAAUGACAAAACCAAAAACAAAACUGGAUUAUGGAUUUGUUCUUCUUACCUUAGAUCUUAAAGAUAAACUUUUUCUUGGAUAAUUGGUCCUAUGAGUACCAAAGAAUGAAUAAUUGAAGAACAUUUUUCUUUAGAAAUAUAGGCAACAUAACAGUUUCUUCUGUUUGAUCUAUUCAAGACGUUUUCACUUAAAAUUUUCUGAGUUUUCGUGUCCCACUAAAAAUAUCAAGAAAUAAAUAUAUGUGUAUAUAUAUAUACUUCUAUGUACAUUGCAGUACAUAAAUUGUUGAUUUCACUAAUACUGAUUUCUUCUGCCAUUUAUAUAGAUUGUAUCCCCUCCAUACCACAACCUGGUGAUCAACAUUCAGAUGAUGAACUUAUGAUUUAAAUUAAAUUGGUGCUUACUCAAGAGACAAUAAGUCUGUCAUCUUCUGUACUUGAAGCCUUUCUAGUACCCCUGGUCAUUUCGGUUCAUUUAGCACUUAUUAUGUGUAGGGCACAAUGCUAAGUGCUAAGUCCCUCCAUAUCACAAGGAAGCAUCAUUUUAGAAGAAAUAUCAAGAACAUGAACAUAAGUGUACAUAUUUAUAAAUGCAUAAUACACAUAUGGAGGUAGAUAUUGAUCUUUCUUUUUGAAGACCAAGGGUCAUACUUUUCCUUUUCUUGGUAAGCCACAACUCUGAAAUCCAGUAGUUCAAAUGAAACAUCUUUGAAUGCUUCUCCUUGAAGUGUAUUGAAUGCUUACUGCUUUCUUAAAAAAUUCAGUCUAAAAACUCUAUUCCAGAUUUUAAGAUAGUACAUCUUUACCCUUUGUUCUGAGUCUUAACUUUUAAUAUUCUAGAUUGCGAUAAGGCAAUGUGGUCUAAUGGGUAGAGUUUUUAUCUUGAAGUCAGGAAGACUUGUCUGAGUUUUGUCUCUGAUGCAUAUGGGUUGCAUGACCUUAAACACGUUUCUUGACCAUUCAAUGACUUCAGCAUAUUUAUAAGCCUCUCAGUUAUCUACCAGAUGCCAAUAUGCAUUAGUUGGAAAGAAUCUCCCUAUACUCAUUAAAGCACAGCUCUGGACAAAAACAAAAUAAAAAUAUAACAAUUGCUGCUCUUUCUUAAAAGGCUUACACCUUAUAGGAAAAUGUCUAAAACAAGUACAAGAAAUUUGGGGCUCAAAGAGACUAAGAAGAUUGUUUCAGGGUAUCUUUGGGAAUCUAGGAAGGAGUUUGAGUUCUAUGCAAGUUGAAUUUUCUGGAGUUUUGAUGGGGGGAGUAAAAGGAUUUUUUUUACAAUAAAAAUAUGGUUAAGGAAUUGAUAGACCUAAUGAAUCCAACUUUUUAAAAUCUAGAGGUGCAGAAAUAAGAACAUCCCAUUUUUGGCAAUGGAGAGGCAGGUAGUGGUUGGAGCUGGAGUAGCCAAGAACAUAUGGUUCUGCCUUGAAUUUCCCACAUAAAGGGAUUAAAAGAGAUUUGACAUUACCUUAGCAAAGAGACAUGACAUGAGAUGUUGCUAUGAUGGUUUUUCUACUUUGUGCCCCAAUUAUUUCGAAACCAUUAAAAAAAUCAGUAACUACUGGGAUCUGAGGGGAAAAAAGUUUUCUAGACCUCAAAAGAGCACAAUUCCUUUGUCCCAACUAGUCAUUUGGAGAGCAAAAUUCCAGGGAUUGCACACCUUGCCAAAGCAUCCUUCUUUCUGCUUCAUUUAGGUUUGUAGCAACAAGUCUUAUUUUGGCUAGAAAGUUGUUUCAGUAUCUUAAUAAUUGCUAUCAUGGUACUUUGAUUUAAAAAGAUAAUUCAGAGGCGAAAAUUGAGAAUGACUAGGUUGAAGGAAGGAUGCUCUACACAGCCAUCUAUAAAUCUUACACAGUGUUUGGUAGACAUUCUCAUUAAUAAUUUGGAAGUCAGUAACUAUUAUGGUUUUGAUUUUAGUCACUAGAAAGGGAUGCAUGGAAGUUGGUAGGCUUCUAGUAGAAUUAGGAAAAUUGUACAACUCGAGGCUUUAAACUUUGUUUCCAAGUAGUGUUUUUCAUUCUCAUCACUAAGAUCUUUCAGCAAAAGUCUCAGAGCUGCCACUGGAGAGAAAUAAACAAAGAUCUAAUAAAAUUAUGUUAAUGCAGUGUGGGAAGAGAAACAAAUAUAAGUAAAUAAGGAAAUAAUUAGUUCUUCCAAAAGUAAAUAUUGACAAAACACCGGGGACUACUUGUAAAACAUAUACAAAUCAUCAGGACUGAGUGACUUUCACUUGUCUGUAUUAAUGUACAAAGGACUAACAGGCUACUGAAAUAUCAAUUCAGUGUCUUUGAAAAGUCAAAUUACUUAAAAUUUAAAUAAAUUUCAUAUUUUCAGAAAGAAAAAAUGUUGCCUAAUGCAUUAACUCAUUAAAUUCAUUUAACAACCAGGACAAUCCAUAAAUACUUGGAAGGCAAUAUGAUUAUAAAUUGCCAACUACCUGAAUUUAUAAGGAAAACUAUCUGAAAAACUUAAAAUUUUACAGUCAUACUGUCCAGUUGUAGCAGGUUUUUAGUGUUAUGAUAUAAAUGCCCUCUAAAGAUUUACUUUAUUAAAAUAUUGGUGAACCAGGUGAAUGAAUGUAGAGUUUGUAUGUAGAAUGUAGAAUUAAGUGUAUAGGAGUUAUUGUAGAGUAGUUGCAAAGAACAGACAAUUUGAAGAUCACCUCAAGACGGUUAUAGAGCAUGGGCAGGAGAGAGUGAAGAAUGAGAAAGUAUCUGAAAAAAAGAGGUGUUGGACCAUUAGGUCUUUGAAACUCCUGAACAUUCUGCUUCUAUAAUUUGAAUAAGGGUAUUAAAAUAGUGAGUUGAAUUUGGAAUAGUGUGAAUUAUUCUUUGGAAAGUAAUUGCCAAUGUAUUCCAAAUGUCAAUACAGGUACAUCUGGAAAAUAAGGGUGGGUUUGUUUGCUGUACUUAAACCAUAACAGUAGACAUUCUGAAAGCUGCUCUGUAAAAACCAUGGUAACAUGUAUUGUGAAAAAUUUAUCUUCCAUUCAUUUCUGGUAAACAUGCCCUUAUGUUUAUGUUAUUCACCUGGUAUCAGAUUGUUGAAGCCCAUCAACAAAAGCAAGUCACUUAACUUUUCCAAGCCUUGGUUAACUUGAUUUUCAAAACAGAAAAGAGAACAAUCCAUAAACUAUCAGCCAAUGAGCUUAAAUUUGAUUCCUGAGAAAAUUCUAGAAUGAAUCAUUAAGCGGACUAUUGGUGAACAUCUAGAAAGUGGUGGUUACAGAGAGCCAACAUGACUCCAGUAAGACCAUAUCAGACUAAAUUCAUUUCCUUUUUUGACAAGUCUUCUAGAUCAGUCUAUUAGUGGAAUUCUGUGAUAGUAUUUAGCUUUAUUUUAGUAAGCUUUUGAUGAACUAUCUUAGAUGAUUCUUGUGGAGAAGAUGGAGAAAUGUGGAUAUUUUAUGAUUAUCUAAUGAGAUAGAUCCAGUAGUUGUUAAUGGCUUGAAUCCUGAGGGAUUUAUGCUUGGUGUUUUUUUUUUUUUUAAGAUUUUCAUCAAUGUAAUGUGGACAAAGGUAUAGAUGGCUUAAUCAUCAAAUUUGCAUAUUACUUUAAUAUAGGAGGGAUACCUAAAACAAUGGAAGUUAACUAGUUUAGUUAUACAAUCAGUACCCAAAACUUCAAAAAGCUGUAGCUUUGGGUAGACUCUCAUAUGAUGAAAGAUAUGAUACUCUUAGUAAGGAUAAACAUAAGAUCUUUUACUACAGUACCAAAAAAAAUCAAUCAACUUCAGAAAUAUAAUAUAGUCAUAUGGCAAUUUCUGAAAAGGAUGGGGGCGAGGAGGAUAGCUUAGUGGAUUCCAUGCAUACUAUGAGUCACUGGUGUUAUGUGGUAGGGAAAAAAGCUAAUGUGAUCUUGGGCUGCAUUAAAAGAAACACAGUUUCCAGGAAUAGGGAGACAAUUGACUUUAGUCAGUGGGGAACCACUCAAGGUUUUUUUUUUGUUUUUUUUUUAAAUAGGGAAGUGCAUUAGGAUCAAUCAAUCAGGGCCAGUUAGGUGACACAGUAGAUAGAAUGCUGAGCCAGGAGGUAGGAGGAUUUGGGUUCAAAUCUGGUCUCAGACAUUUCUUAGCUGUGUGAUGCUGGGCAAAUCACUUCAUUCCAUUUGCCUAGUCCUCCUCGCUUACCUUUCUUUCUUAGAGUUGUUACUAAAGCAGAAAAGUAAGGUUUUUUUUUAAAGGAUCAAUCAAUCAACAAGCAUUUCUUCAGCACCUGCUAUAUGUCAAGCAUUCUAAGGUCUGUGAUACAGAGACAGAGAGAUAUGUGCACACAUACAUCCACUAAAGGAUUUAUACCUAGAAGUGUCCUUAGACAUCAUCUAGACCAACUCCUUCAUUUUACAACAAAAACUAAUGUUGGGAGAGAGAUAUGCAGUAGGAAAAUUGCUUUGGCAGAAGUGGAAUAUAUGGAUUGGAAAGGGGAGUCUGGAAGCAGUACAAGGAAGCAUAGAGGUAUAGCACAUAGUGCUUAUCUUCAAAGAGCUUGCACUCUAAAAAGAUAAGAAAUAAACAAAGUUAAUUUAAAAAAAACUGAAUAGGAGUUGGAAGUCAUAACAUAACAACAUGUGUUUGCUAAAUAAAUUGUCCGAAGAAUCGCAUAGGAAUUGAAAGGAGAGUGAUGUGAUGAUGAGGUAAGGAAUAGAAACUAUUGGAGUUUAGUCUUAAAAAAUAGGUUUGAUUUUGGUGGGGGGAGAGUAGGGAGGAAUUCCUCCCAGCUUUAAGAAAGUUUAUAAAAUGUAGUUCAAACUAUAGUUUUUACUAAAAAAUAAGAAAUCACUUUCUAUUCUUAAAUCUGAACUGUAGUUGAAAAGAGUUGUUAUGAUUUUAUGACAUUUCUCUUUUUCUGAGUGGGAAAAUGAUACCUGCUUUUACAGUGGAAUUGAGCAUCAUUGAGAAAAUACUUCCUUUCGACUUUAUUUAACUUUCAACUUUAUGCACUCUUCCACCCACUAAUUCUUUUUUCUGUCCUUGUUCUAGCACUCAGGUACUUGGGGGAAUAUCUUGUUAGUGAAUUAUGAAGAGAAUUAAAGAUAUCCUUAAUAAAAAAAAGAAACACAAAUUUUUUGGGAGGGAAAUACCCUUUAAACCCCCCUUUUUUUUAAUGAUAAACAAGUCCUCAGUCCCAUCACAAUGAAUUUAACAGCUCCUUGGGUGGAAUAUGCUUCUAGACAACUGGCUAGACCAAUUUUCUUCAUUCUCUUUAAUGUUCUGCAAGUUGAAUAAUUGACUUUUUUAACAUAGCCUUCUAGAACUCAAGUUUAUCUCCACAUGAGGAAUGUAUCAGAACAAAUCUUAAGUGGAAAAAUUGGGAGUUAUCAAAGAUUAGGAAGCAUUUGCCAUGCUUUUGAGAAGACCUAUACUUAACUGUGUACCCAUGGGCUAACUUCAUAUUUGAAAAAUCCUUAUACUACAUACAGCCUGUAGAAUAAUUUGCAAGAGAGGGCCUAUGUGCAUGACUUCUUGCUCUCUGACAGUUGGCCUUCAGUGUUUCUGUCACUUUUGAUACAUUACUGGUUAGUUCACUCUAAUCAAACAAGUCUGUGGCAGUAGUGACCAACAGGGGACCUAGCCCCAUCUGUCACUCAGCUCUAACCCUUGAAUCUUCACAUCUAGUAACAAUGAAGCCAUUUAUCACAGAUUGGUCUAACCUCCCACCCCCACCUCCCACAAAAAGCAGAAAUUCAGCCUAUUCUUGCCUUAUCAUCCCCCCCUUUUCUCUGUAUUCUCUUCCCCUCCAUUCCCUUCCCUUCUCAUAUUCUUAGCCCAACACAUACCCUUUAAAAGGUUGUUUCCUCCCCUUCCCCACAUACACCAUGUACGCAAACUAUACCCCCCAAAACAAAACAGGUCCUUAAGGAUGACAGCCAAGUAAUAUAAUAGAUUAAAUGCUAAACUUUGGAAUCAAGAAGACCUGAGUUCACAUCUUUCCGCAUAUACUUAUUAGCUGUGUGAUAUAUGGAAAGUCAUUUAAACUCUCUUUGCUGCAGUUUCCUCAUCUAAAAAAUAUGGAUAAUAACAGCACCUAUUCCAAAGGGUCAAAUGAGAUGUACAUAAAAGUGCCAUUAUAUAAAUGUUUGUUAUUGUUAUUAUUAAUAAUAAAAAACAUGUGUAGUUAUAUCAGAGAAUCUGGGUUGAAAAGCACUGAGAAUAAUAUUGAAACAGGGCUAUAACUCAGAAUACCUCCAUAGGCGCAUUAGUGUUAAACAUAAAGUAACUCUGAUGAUGGUUACAAACUAUAGUGGAAAGAACACUGAAUUUUGGGUCAGUAAACCUGUAUUAAAAAAACAACAAUAACUAAAUUUCAUCAUCCAUAAAAUGAGAAUAACAGGAUCAAAGGAUUUACAGCUAUUAAUGUCCUUAGAGGUCUUCUAGUCCAAUUCCUUCAUUUUACAAAUGUGGAAAAUGAGGCCUUUAGCGGAUGUGAUUUGGGAAAAGUCACAUAGAGAAGAGAUUCAAACUCAGGUCUUCUAACUCCAAAUUCCAUGGAUUGGAAGACAUCUAAUUACUUUACCUAAUAAUACUUCUUUGUACUACAUACUUCUCAGAUUUGUUGGGGUAAAAUGCAUUGUAAAUCCCUGUGUGUCACAUAAAGUAGAGGUUAUUAUUAUUGUGACCAGCUCUCUGGAAAAUGCACAUCUAUUUUUAAUUAGAUCAUAUAUAUUUAUUAAAUAAAAACUUCAUUUUGUUUUAAAAUGUAAUCACAUCUCUUGAAAUAAAUGGAGAUAUUUUUGAAUCUAUAAAACAAAGUGUAGGGUUCACUCCAUACAGCAAGAACAAGUUUGAGAGUCAGUGAAGGCUGCUGCCAGCCAUCCAGCUUUCCUUCCUUCCCUUUGGUUUUCAUUUCUGUCAUUCUGUUCACUAAAGAUAUGAGUUGUGCCACUUGUAAACCUAUAUACCUUAGAGUCAAGGAAGAUGUUGACUUGAAAUUAGUGUAUUAGUAGUUGUUGACAUUUUAGUAUCUCCUUAAGGUCUUUAGGAGAUUUGGAUAGGAGACUUUUAACUGUUAUUUGCCUUCCAACCUGGAAAUGAACAUCAUAUUUUCUUAAAGACUUCCUAGAGAAUCCCUAGCAUUGUAUUGAUGUACGGGACUACCAAAGAGUACUUGAAGUAGACAACUCUCUGGCCCUUAAAACUAACUUAGCCACCUAGAAUUUGAAACUAAUUGUUUAUUAUUUGAUAAGUCCUGAAUAUUUACAAAGGGCAUUACUCUUGGGCAUGCUACUGUAGCAGUUCAGUCAUUUUCAGCCCUGUCUGACUCUCUGGGACCCCAUUUGGGGUUUUCUUGGCAAACAUACUGGAGUAUUUUGCCAUUUCCAGCUCAUUUUACAGAUGAGGAAACUGAGGCAAAUAGGAUUAAAUGACUUGCCUGGGGUCGUACUGUUAUUAAGUGUCUGAGACAAAUUUGAAGUCAGGUCUUCCUGACUCAGGCCAGGCACUCUAUCCACUGUACCACCUUGCUCUAUUUUACUAGAGACCUAAAGUGUUUUAACAGUAAAUUUAAACUUAUAGCAGCGCAGAGGCAUCCACUACCCAACUUUCCUUAAAAUUUAUGAGGUUUAUUUUUAAACUUAUAUGUAUAUAUGUAUACAUAUAUAUAUAUAUAUAUGCAUUUGUUUAUACGUAUGUGUGCAUGUAUACUGGUCAAACAAAAAAAAUCACUUGAAUUUCAUAGAUUAUCUUUAAUAUAUUGAUUUGAGCCAUAAAGACAGAAAAAGAAACAUUAAGUACAUUAUUUGAUUCGUUAAUAUUGAUCUUUUAAAUAAGAUUUUAUUUCUUAGCUGCUAAGGAAGGAGAGGAAGAUUUUGAAAGGUUUCUCUUUUUAAAAAAAUUCUUUAUUUGCUUUAGUUCUAUAUCAGCCAGCUUUUCUGGCUAUAGUGAGGUAAAAAAAAAGGAUGUAGACUGUAACAAGAAACUGAACCCAUCUUAUUUAGCAUUUCAAAACAAAAAACCAUAAACAAACAUCUCAGAUUCAAAACAGAAAGGAAUUUCUGGCAGGGAUAGAUGAAACCUGAGUCUACUUGGUCCCUGUCUGCAAGAGGUAACUUAUUUAGCUUCCCCUACAAAGACUGCAAGCAUUUCACAAACAUUUCACAGCCAUGAUAAAAAGAAAAGAAUCUCCAGAUUGGAGAGAUGCAACACCUGUCUUUAAGAAACUGCAGGAGCUGGUGAUUUAUGGCAGAGCUACAUGGAAGAAGUAUGACCUGAACUAAACUUUGUUCAAGUGAGUUGGGAUAAUCAAGUGCUUGUAAUGUGCUAGGAAUUUUAACCGAACAUACAGAACACAUGGUGUUUUUCCAGUAAGAGUUUAUGCUCAUAAUCCUUCACUGACAGGAGAUCCCCAUAAUCUUGUCAAACCCAGAAUUUAAAAACUCUAAAAGAAAAUCCACUGGACUGUCCCAUGCCAUCACCAUGAUGGGGCCCAUCCAGUGUUCUGCUCUAAAGGUAGGCAUGGUAUUUGCAGUAAGAUUAAGGCAGAUUGAUUUUAUAAAGAUGUUCACAAGGAAGAAGCUAAUGGAUUUGCCAGUGGUUUAGAUAUGGGUUGAGAACAAAAGGGAUUUUUUUUUCUAUGCUGAACCAUUAGAUGCUCAUAUGUUGAACCCAAAUUCUUACAUUAUAGGCAUACUUUGGUGAUUCUGCUUUCAUUAUCUAUGAUGUAAAAUGAAAGUCCAGAAACAGUCCACAUCUUUUAGUAAAAAGGGUGAAUACUGUAGACACAUGGCUAAAUUUCUAUACAUGAGAAUUCCAGAACAUCCAUAACACAUUGCAGUAGAAGCCCACUUCUUAGCAUGGUUCCUGGCAUAGAGUAGGCACUUAAAUGUUUAUUGAUUGAUUAGUUAAAAGGAAUGUACAAGAAACCUCAGAUUCUCCUUUGGGACACUUACUGGAUGGCACUGAGCAAGUCACUUAACUUCUUGGACUCAAGGGCUUCAUCUACAAAAUGAAAAUAAGAAUAUUUUACUUGAUGGUAAGAGACUUGAUCAGUGUUUACCUGGGGUCCAUUCCAGUGGCAGAAGACCUACGAAAGGGUUAAAUAUUACCUCUUGACUGCAAAGAAGUGGCAUGCUGUAAAGGUGAGAAUUUGGGUACAAGAGACAAGAGAUACCGGUUCCAGAUCCAGAAUAGUUACCAGCUAUGUGAGUUUGAACAAAGAUUUUUCUGCUACAGCUUCUUCUCUAGAACAAGGAUUUUAGAACAGGUGAUUUCUGAGGUCUCUUCUAGUUGUGAUAGUCUAUGAUUCUUGGGGAAAUGGGAUUCUUGGUAUUAGUUUUAGUCAAGUGGAAUAAGGGGAAGGAGUUUUAUUAAUAAUAACUGACAUUGGCAUAACACUUUAAGAUUUGCAAAGUCUUUUACAAAUGUUUUUAUUUUAGUGCAAGGGUCCUUCACCUUCUCUGUAUCAUGGACCUUUUGGGCAAUCUGUGAAGCUUAUGUCAGAUACCGGCUCAGAAUAAUGUCUUCAAACAAAUAAAAUAAAAUAUUUAGGAUUACAUAGGAAGACAAUUAUAUGAAAUGCAAUUGUAAAGAUAUUUCAUCAAUUGGGAAAUGGCUAAAGAAGUUAUGGGAUACAAUUGUGAUGUAAUACUACUGCACUGCAAGAAAUGAUGAGCAAAUUAAUUUUGGAAAAUGGAAAGAUCUGCAUAAAACUAUAAAGAGUAAAAUGAGCAGAACCAAGAGAACAUUAGAUAAGGCAAUAGAAAUAUUGUUUAAAGAAUGACUUGCAUAUAUCCACCUCUAGAGGACGAACUGAUAAAUAGAAAUAAGAUAUAGUUUUAUGUAUACAUAUAUCUUUUUGUCAAAUAAUGCCUUCUCUAAGGCUCAUUCUCUAAGAAUGAGGGAAGGAAGGAGUUAACUAGACAUUUUAAUGUAACAAAAAUAAAUUUUAAUUUUAAAAAAGUUCAUGGGCAUCAGCUUAAAUAAUCCUGAUUUAGGGGAAUAUAUUACUUUCUUCCUUAAUUACACUUCACAUGAAGUAAUUAAGACUGCAAAACAUGGUCAUUAUCUAGAAUAUGUUUAAAUAACAGAAAUCUAGAAACCAUCUUAACUGCAUGACCUGAUGUGAAUUCAAGGGAGAAUGAAAACGUCUGCUUUAGGCUGCUAAAUGGGGUAAAACUAUCUUUGCUAUUUUCUCAGAUUCCUCGUUUACUUUAUUAACCAGUGUGGUUGUGAGGCAGGUAAGUGACAAAUACUGCGAAGAGGGAAACCUGAGUGAAGAAGACAGGCCAAAACUUGCCCAAAUUUACAUGCUCAUUUCUGUCUCUGACAGUCAGAGGCAGUUGAGUAAUUGCUGUUCAUCCUAAUACUACAGGCAGCAGCCAAAUUCUCAACAUUCUUUUACCUUUGCUGCUGUUUUCACUUGCCAGGGAGUUUCCCACCAGACACUGGGCAAGCAGUUUUCUUAAAGAGUGGAAUGAAUUUAAAGAGACAUGCUAUAACAAUUUGUAUUUUCUGUCUCAGAUAUACAUAAUGUUGUACAGUCUCUAUGGGGUUUUCAUUCAGUGCUUGUUGACAUUUGGGCAAUGGACAUUCUUCAUCCAUUUGGUCUUUUCUGUAUGAAUGGAUAGGCCAAACUCCUUUGAGUGAUUAUAGAGCUCUUCCAAGAGGCUCUGCAGUGUCUUAGGACUUUGAUGUAGUUACGAUGUCAUCUGAAAACAGGAGCAUCUGGAGGACUUCACUGUUCACAAGGAGCUCUCUGGGGUGGAUGUCCUCUAUUACCAUGGAGAAUACUUUUGGCAAGUGUACAUCUCCCUGCUUUAUGUCUUGCCUAAUGUUUAUUAUCAGAGAGUCAUUAAACAGAUGGACAAGAGCUGAGCCCAGAGUGGAAAAGGGAGGACAAGAGGGGCUAGAUAGCUUUUGGGAACUUUCAAAAUACUUGCAAUUUGGGAACUUCAAAAUAUUGACCCAUCCUAUCUGUAACAGCAAAAGCCCAUCUUCUUAAUACAAACAUUUAAACAUGUUUCUGCAUAGUAGCAAGACCAGGAACACUCCUGCCUCCAAAAUAUUAAAUGAAAUAUUUUACAGAAAGGCUGGUAAGGUGGGUAAGAGCUGACUGCAACAUGUAACCAGCAAGGAACUCUGAAGAUCCUGAGUAAGGAUGCCAUCCAAGAAUUGUAUGAAAGAAAAAGGAGAUGGGCUGGUCACAUGACAAGAGGGAUGAUGGACAGGUGGACAACCAGAGUGCUCCACUAGUACCUUUGCAUCAUUGAGAGAAAGCAAGGAAAGACUAGCACAUUGAGUAGAUUGCCUAUGAGAACUCUGGGGAGACUGUGAGUGAGAAUUUUAUAUGCUGGGCAGGCUGUGAUCUGAAUAUUUGGAGGGAAUUUUCAAAUUGAGGAGAUCACAGAUCCAUUUGAAUAUUGGAGUACUGGUGGCUACAGACAAAUUGCCUGAAUGUAGCAACUUUAUAGUCUACUGCUAGGGCAAUGCAAUGUCUAGUGGAAACUUGAAACUUAUUGUUACCCUCCACUCCCAAACACACAUAGAUUCCACCCUUCUUUCUGUCUGUCACAACAGAGGAUAAAAUAUCAAGAAUGUGCGGAACAAAUAUUCUUUCUAAAAGUGUUGGAUUUGGGGGGUCUAAGGACAUGAGUUCAAAUCCUAGCUCUCACUUGGCCGCUGUAACAACUUAUGUUUUAAUUGCCUCAUCUGUAAAAUUGGGAUAAUAAUACUUCACUCAUAGCCUGUUGUGAUUAGAGCAUUCUGUAAACACUAAAGCACUACAUAACUGUGAGUUACUGAUUUUUAGAUAGAGUGGUAAAUGCAUGAUAAUGGUCCAUAAGUGUCUAGAAAUGACAUUUUUGCCCUUUAUGCUCAUCACGCACAUAACACUGAAUAAGCUUAGAUGCAGCAAAACUGAUGGCAGUAACGAUGCAAUAAUGGUUAUUCCUUAAUUUUCUUCACUGGCUUAGUGAGGAUUUCACUUUGCAGUCUGGUAUAACUUUUGCUAGGUGCAAAUACAUUGCAGUAAGAGGCUAAUUAAUUCCAGUUGAACUCUCAUUAGUAAGUCCUUUGAAUGGAAAAUUCACUAGAAAAUAUCCACAUAGGAUGUUAGGAUUUAGAAUUGGAAAAGAUAUAAGGAAUUAUAAAAGAAGAAAUUUCAUAGCCCAGAGUGGUGAAGGAUAUUCUUCCUCUCUUCUUACUCAAACUGUUUUACCCCAUUCUGACCAGGAUAAAUUAAUUUUAGCCUAAUGGGUAUUUACAUUUCUCCUAGCAAAGAAGCAUUUUUUAAAAGGCUUUAAUAAAAUUUACAAUAUUGUUAUAGUUUUCUAAUGACUAUUAUUUGGACACAAGUUCAUUUUAUACGAUUAGUAAUAUACUAUCCCACAGACCAUUUCAAGCCCUCUGCUUAGAAUCUAUCAAGACUAGAAUUCGGUUGCUUACUUGAACACACACAUACACCUCUUUCUCUAAUGAAGAUUCUGGACAGCUAGUAGUAGUGACUGUGUCUGAAAUAGCCCUUGAGGGGAUGGGUAGUGUCAGUUACUAACCUGAUCCUUUGCCUAAGGAUGAGUUCUCACUUUUACUCUCCUUUUGGGUAUAUAAAGAGGUCUUUAUUUGGUUUUCUUCCUGUCUCUUUGAAACACUAGUAUAUGGAACCUUGAAAAGGUGUAAGAAAUGCCUGAACGAUUGUGCAGCAAACACUUUUGUGCAGUGAAAAUGGAAGGGACUUGCUGUAAUUAGAUUCCAUUUGGGAGGACUAGCUACCUCUAUUCUCAGGUUGUUUUUUUUAUGCCCUUGCUUUGUUCCCUUGGCACCAUCUGUGUGGUGGCAAAUCCUUGCCAUGACCCCCAUGCAUGCUGGAUAUCAGGUGCCCUGAAAACCAUUUCAGAGAACUGCUCUCCAACAAUCUUUCCAUUGGCCUCCACAUUCUUCCCAGCAGAGUCAUGCACAGGCAUUGGUAACACUGAAAGGGGGAGGUUUAAAAAAACCCCCACAGAAAAGGACUUUGCCAUCUGUUUGUCUAUCAUAAGUAGCCCCUUUCAGUGACAGGGUGGUGGAGGAGGGUGGGUAUGAGUACAAGACCUUACCAGAAUGCCAGGAUGCACCUGCCCCUCUUCUCUGACAUCACAAAACGAGAAUUGUAUGAAACAAGGUUGUGGUAGUGAACCUUCCAGAGUCAGGACACCAAAACCAUACUCUAGACCCAGCAGUGAGAGGGUGGUAUAGCAUAGUAGAUGGAGUACUGCUUUCAUAGACAAAAACCUGGAUUCCAAUGCAAACCAGCAGUGGCAAAUCAUUUAAACUCUUAGUUUACCAGGCAGCUCUCUGAAGAUUGUAAGUUGUUGAACAACUGAUCUGCACUGGUAGAGUGAGUUUCCUCAUUGGGUGUUCCAUAUACCAAUGAAAUAACAGGCCACAUUUGAUACAUCCCUCACCCGCAUCCCCACCCCCCACACACACAAAAAAAGCAUGAAUACUAGAGAAUUUGGGUAGUCAACUUUUUAUUCUUUUAGCAUUGGGUCAGACCUGGAACAAACUCUGUAAAUAAUUCCUCCUUUUCUAAUGGAAUUAAUUUUGUCUAUGCUUUUUUGUAUGUAUAUGUGUGUGUAUACAUACAUACAUAUGUGUGUGUAUAUAUACAUUUAAAAUGUAGCUAAAGGUAUAUUCUAUUGACAACACUUCACAGGGCAUGCUUAUAGUCUCUAACUGGAUUUUAAGAGGUUGGACAAUAUCUAUUUUACAAACUGGAACACUCAAAAAAUGAAUUUUCAGAUCUCAUGUCAUAAAAAAAUUUUAGGGUGAUUAUUUGUUUCCAUUAUUGUAAUUGAACACUAUUUUCUAAUUAUCAUAUUUUAAGCUGUAAGUUGCUUCAUUAAUCGGAGCAUUUGCAUCUUCUUUAUGCUUUACUUGCUAAAGAAAUAAUUUUUAUAUUUUUUAAUGUCCAGGAGAGAGGAUUAUUAUCACUAAGUUUUUGUUUUCAUAAUUAAAGGUAUAGUAGGUGCUUAUUUUAGCAUUACUCUUGUCCAGGCCAUAUAGAAAUUAGGGAGGAAAUAGUAGAAUAGGAAUGUGGAACUUUUAAUAAUGAGGAAGACAUAUUAUUUGAUUUAGGUGGAUCUCUGUAGGGAGAUCUUUGUCUUUGGGGGGAAGGAAUUUUUAGAAAAAAUUUUGUUGGGAAAAUAUAACAUUUCAGUGCCUACUGUGUUGGACCAUUUUACUGGAUACCACAGAAAAAUAAAAAGAAAAUAUGUAUUUGUCUUAUGCCUUCACAGUAUCUUAAGCCAAACAAAAAUUGCAUGUAUAUAGGAUACUGAACAUACACAGGUUGUUAUAGUUAUGCAUAUGUGUGAAUUUUAAACUUUAUGAAGAUCAAAGUAUAUACAAUGAUACAAAGCUUUGCUUGAAUGUGUUUGGAGAUGUAGAAACUAAGAUUUGAAAAGAUUAUAAAAGAAGGCGCUUUUUUUGCUUUUAAGUAGGGGGAAAGAUAUGUGCCCCCACCAAUUCUUGUUUCUUUUGAUAAAAAGAACUACAGGUGAUUUAUUCUCCAUAAUUCCUCAGUAGAAAUUAGUUAGUCAAUUAAGAAGCAUUUAUUAAACUCCAACAAUGUGCCAAGCCAAGCACCAUUAUAGGUGCUGGGGAUACAAAGACAAAAAUGAAAUGGUCCCUGCCCUUAAAGAGUUUAUAUAAUAUUGAGGGAGCCUACAUAAACAUAGAUAAGUAUAUACCAAAUUAAUCCGAGAUAAUCUGAGGGGAGAUCACUUGGCAUCGAAGGGCAAAGAAAGGCUCUAAUAAGAAGGUGGCUGUUGAACUAGAUUUAAAAGGGGAAAAAGGAAUUCUAAGAACCGAAGUGAAGAUGGACUUCAUUAUUCGCAAAACAAGCAGACAUUGCAAGGAUAUGGAGACAGGAGAUGGAAUGCUGUGUGUGAAGAAUAUCAAGAAGAUCAGUUGGAUUGCCCUGUAGUAUAUGGGAAGAGGAGUAAUGUAUAAUAAUGAUAGAAAGGUGAAAAGGGAUUGCUAAAAAUGGAUAUUUAAGACACAAGUAGGAAGUUCAAAUAAGUCUUAAGUAUACCCCAAAAAACAAAAAACCCCCCUCCAACCCAAACAAACCAACUUUAAUUUCAAUAUCAAGCCUUUAAAUCUAGCCUAUAUUUUGAACUUGGAUCAAAUAGGAAACAAACUGUGCAUAUGGUUUUUCUUUUUGGAAUUGUGCUGUCUUGCAUUUGUUGGAGUUAGGUGUUGUGAAGGGCUUUAAAGGUCAUACAAAGGAGUUUAUAUUUUGUCAUAAAGGCAAGAGAAAACCAUUGGGAUUUAUUGAGGAAGAGAAUAACAUUGUCAGAUCUGCCCUUGAGGAAAAUCACUUUGGCAGCCACAUGGUAGAAGGAUUGAAAACUAAGCCAAGCCAGAGAGACCAAUUCAUUGUCACACACGAAACCAACUUAUGGGUGGAAAUAAGGUGUCAACUUCUAAAAUUUAGACUAGAGGUUGUAGAUUUUUCUAAUGCUAGUCCAAAUAGAGUAGCUAGAACAUGAGGAGGACUAAAAAGAGGAGUUAAAGUUGACUCAAGUUCUUCACUCCAUUGUCUAAUACAGCGGUUUUCAAACUUUUUUUUUUGCUCAUGGCACAGUUUUAUUUUUUUAUUUUGAUAGACACAUAUAUGGAUUGCAAGUGUCAGUUUCAUACAGUUAGGGGCAUGUCUAGUAAAACUCAUGCUAUCCAUUGAAAGCCAGUGGUUUCCUGUAACCAAAUCUUUGAGUGCUAAAUAAGGGUUCAAGACUUUGGUUUUAAGAUAGGUUCUUGAAGUUUUAUUUCUGGAAAUGAAUGUUAGUAUAGAUAGAGGCUGGAGAGACCUUUGAUUUUUGGAUUAUCUGGAAAAUGACCCUCUCAUUAUAAGAAUUGUUUUGCCCUCAAAAGCAAUUCAGCACAGGGUUGUGUGUGUGUUUCUCUCCAUACAUUCUUUUGCAAUUCAUUGAGUCAUUGCAUAAUGAACUGAUUUUGAGUUUGAUAUUGGAAAGUAAAGUUGGGAGAGGGGAUUUAAAGGAUAUACUUAGGCUCUUUACUUGCACUUCUUCCCCACACUUGUGUUGCAGAAGUCUCUACUUUCAAUGGUCCUUUCUCAUUUGCUUAUAAGAAUCUUGGUGGGUGGCAACUUCCCCCUCACAACCAGGAGUUUGUUGCAUUGAGUCCUUAAGGUACUAUGGCGACAGAGUUGUUGUGAGUAAUAACUAAUAAACGAUUAUGAAUUGCUUUGUAAACAUGUUUCAAAUGAUUACAUAAAUGUCUAAUAAUGAUAACAUAGUCACUGGAUUCUAAACCUAGCAAAAGUUGUAAUAUUGUGCAUUAAUCUCAAUGAGCACACAUAUAUAUUUCUAUUCAGAUUAAUUUGACAUUCCUUAAACAUACUCUGAGAGUGAGACAGCAAAAACUAUUUGGUGCUUCCGAUGAUCUCAGAAGUGCCCUGAAGAAUUUCAUUGCAAGGACUUUGUGGGGCAGGAAAUUCCUGAAACAUUCAUCUUUUAAGGGGGAAGUCUAUUACUAUACGUCAUAAGAAUGCUUUGCAAAGGUUUGAGCAGGAAGUCAAGAGAAACCACUGGAUGAUGAAUUUAGGGAAACAGAAUUCCGAUUUGGAUUUCAUUCAGAUUAAUAGCCUGCCAUGGGAGACCAUGGAAUUUUUUAUAACAAGUGGUUAGAACUCAAGUUCUUUUUUUUUUUUUUUUGGUCAUUAGGCAAUACAGAAAUACCAUUAUUAUUCAGUGCUAGGAUCAGUCAAUCAUGAACUCACAAACACCUCAAUUUUUAAAUUUAAAAUUUUUUCUUUUAAGAUUUAAGCCCUGCCUAUUUCCAUAUGGACUAGAUGUGACCUUUAAAUUAAAAGGAUACAAAAUGAGGCAUUGAAAGAUAUACACAAAGAAUUUGUAAAUGAAACAAUUAAUUAAACAUUUCUAAGUCCUGAUUAUAUCAGGAAUUAUUUUAGGAGCUGGGAAUAACAAGAAAAAAAAAAACAAAAAUAGCCCCUGAACACAAGGAACUGAUAUUCUACCAGAAUUUAUGGUGAAAAGAUUGUGGAAGUUUCAUAUUAAGACACAAGAAACUAUACACAUUCACUUUCAGAGACAUGAUUUUCUUGUAACUGAUCUCAAGUACUAAAAGUAGUCCUCACUUUGAUUUGCCAGUCCUCUUUUGAAAUAUGUCUUUUCUGGAUUGUCCCCAGUUUUAGGAAGCCUAUGCCAGUCCUGAUUGCAACUGUUGACUCUGAUAAUAUGACAGCCCAGCAGCCCAAGACAGAACAUCUUCCAGAAUCUUUAAAAUCUUUUGUAGAGGAAAAUGGUGGAUUUAGUGAAGGUGUCAGUCAUUAUGUAGCUUCCCUUUAUUUCUAAAACACUGAUAACAGAUAAUUCAGAGUUAGCUCCCCAGAGAAUGACUCUUAAGUAAAAUAUUUCUUGAGGCCAGAUACCCAGUUCCUCUCAGGUCCCUAUCUUUUCCUCCCCUCACCCCAUUUAAAUGUUUACUAAUGCCAUUCUAUAAGUACUUCAUUAUGUCCUAGUCCAGAAGUGACCCUGGGUGCUCAAGGCAAUACCAGCAGAGUACAGUCUCUGACCAGUACUUACCUACUAAACAGGCAAGACUUUGAAUAUUAAAAAAAUAUAUUCUGCCAUCUGAAGACUUUGCUAGCUAUGUUUGGAGAGGCUCAUCACUGACCUGGGUGUGGAGUGAUGCAUUUUUUUUUGGCUACAGUAACCCAUGAAGACCAUCUACUACUAAUUUGUAGAGUGAUGUGAUGAAUCAUUUGCUUGUUGUCUCUCCCAUUAGAUUGUGAGGUUCUUGAAAGUCAGGACUGUUUCUGUCUUUCUUUGUAUCUGUAGCUUCUAGCACAGUGCCUGGUACAUGACAGGAGCUUAGUAAAUGGUUGUUGAAUUGUUGGAAAGGUAGUAUCCACACCACUGAAAGCAAGAGUCCUUAAAGUGUUCAAGUAUAAGUAUCCAGUGAACACUUCCUUAUAUUAGCCUUAAGAGUUAAAACAGAAUUUAAGAACUCUCUAGUCUAAGUCCCUCCCUUUAUAGAUGAGGAAGCAAAGAACCAGGGAAGAAAAGAGAUUUGCCCAGGGGCACACAGCUACAGAUUGGCAGAGAUGGGAUUCAAACCUAGGUCCUCUGAACUGAAAUCCAGUGCUUUUGCCAGGAUUCCAAACUGGCUUUCACUAAAAGUCUCUUCUUCCUUUUAUUCUUUCUCAUCUUUUCCCAUUAUCCUAAAGAUGGUAAAAACUGUGGAAGAAUACUAUUUAGUGGUUAAGUACUACUAAAAUUUAAUACAUCUUCCCUGUAAACCUGGCACCUAUAGUAAGAUGCUAUUGAAAGAUUUCUGGAUCUGAAUUCCUGGCUCCACCACUUAACUAUUUGUUAGGAUGAACUGGAUUUAUUUAAUUUUGUUUAUUUAAUUUAAUGUAUUUGUAUUCCCAGAGGUUAGCACAGUACCUGGCAUAUAGUAGGUGCUUAAUUAAGGCUUGCAGAUUGACCUUCAGCCUCCUCAUCUGUAAAUUGAAAAGUUUGCACUGACUUCUUUUAGCUUUAAAUCUGCUGCUGCUUAGAUUAUUUUCGUAUAGUAAUACUGUAGUCAACUCUGAAUUAGGUAUGCCUGAUAGAGAGGAAGAAAAUAUCCAAUGAUUUUAACCCUAGAACACCUGGGAAUUCUCCUAGCUGCUAUUGCAGACCUUAGUGGUAAGUACCAUACCACCAAAACAAAUAAACAAAAACCCUGAGAAAGGGACUUAAGUUAGACAUUCAGAAAAAUGAAUUUGAAUCGGGGUGAGGAACACAGUAUCCAUUAGUCCCUUUAUGAUUGUCCCUUUAAUUUUAGUGAUUCCCUUUCAAUUAUUUUUCUUGUACAGGGGGACAACAAUGAGAUCAUUGGAGAAGAUAAAGACAAUCUUCUUGAUUAACAAUAGUUAUUUCAUCAUUAAAAAGAGGGCUAGCCUAGGUGUGAGGCAUUUUUGCAGCAAUAUCAUUUUUGUUCCUUCUGUGUGCCCCAGGAAGGAAUGCUGAGUCCCUAAAGAAACCUCAGAGAGGUAUUUGAAGGAAUAGUUGGGGAAAUAAUACCCUCUCACUUCCUUGUUUGACUAGCUUUUCAUGCCUACAGCCAGAUCACAAAGUAUUAUUUUUGUUGUUGCUCAGUCAUUUCAGUUGUGUUCCCAUUCUUCAUGACCCUAUUUGGAAUUUUCUUGGCACAGAUCCUGGAGUGGUUUGCCAUUUCCUUCUUCAGCUCGUUUUACAACCAAAGGAACUGAGGCAAACAGGGUUAAGUAUUUUGCUCAAGUUCACACAACUUGUGUCAGAGGCCAGAUCUGAACUGAGGAAGAUGAACCUCCCUGACUCCAUACCCAGCACUCUCUUCACUGUGUGGUCUAGCUCCUGAAGUAUUAUUAGAUUGAGAUAAUAUUAGAAAGAGAUGCUGUAUUCAUAACAGAGGAAAGAAAGUGAACAAGUUUUGUGAGUUAAAAGAAAGGAUGAGUCUUGUCCCCCAUGAAACAUAUUGAAUUCAUCAAGGAAAGCUAUGGGAUUAUUAUUAGUUGUGGGGAAAAAAGCCACUGGAGUAUACAGAUAAUAGAUGUAAAGUUAUAUUUCUUUUUUUUCCUCCCCUUCCCCAACAAUAUAUGUGUUUCUCCUCAAAUAUGUGGGUGAAUGCAUUCUUACUAUAUGAAUAUACAUACAUAAAUAGUCAUGGAUGGUAUAACAUUGGGAAGUGUUCUUAUUUCUUACUAAAAUUAACUUGUUUUUCUCUCUUCUCUGAUGACAGAGUUCCUAAUUAAUAUUACUAAUAUUUUAUUACUGCUCUCCAUUGCUGAUGGAUAUUAACUGCUAUUAAGGAAGGCAUGUUGGUCUAGUGGAGAGAGAGAGAGAGUUUAACUUGAAGUCAGAUUCCUAUCUCCAGCAUUUACUAGCUGUCAGACUACGGAGGAGGCACUUCAGCUUUCUUAGAUUCAACUUCCUUAUCAGUGAAGUGAACAUAGUAAUACUUGUAGUGCUUAGCUCAUAGGAUAAUUGUGAGCCUCAAGUGAGGUAAUGUAAGUAAAAUGCUUUGCAAAUCUUAAAACAUUUUAUUAAUGCAGUUGCUUUUGACUCCCAGCUUUUAUGACAGCAAUGUCCAUUCUUGAUAUUAAUGAAUAUUUUGAUAGAUCUGCAGUCUUAUGGAUGUGGGUACCCCCUCCUGUGAUACAUAUGGCAAUUCAUCUCUUGUUGAAUUCACAAGUAAUGAGCUACGGCUAAACUCUUCCUCAGAAUGCAAAGAGUCCAUUGCUGUGAUCAGAGACUAAAUAUGGCCUAUAUGCGAAGACAGUGCAAACUAAGAGAACCUGUUAAAACCCUCUAGAACAGAUAAUCCACUCUGAUAGCCUUUGAGAACCAGGUCAGAUCCACAUAAUGAGGAAAAGUCCCAACGAACAUUGGGCUGAAUCUUAUUUGAUUUGUGACUAUUUAUGACUGAAAUCCAGUAGUGAUGAAUGUAAAAGUCUUGCACCUGGAUACAAAAAGAAAAAUCAACAUCACAAAUACAAGAUGGGUGAGGAAUGGUUAGGCAGAAUCAUUGAAAAAAAGAGCCAUAGGUUUUUGUGCACUGCAAGCUUAAUAUGAGUUUAGCAAUGUGAUGGAACAGCCAAAAGAAAGCAAAGCUUAAUGUGAUCUUGGGCUCUGUUAAGAGGUUCUAACUUUCCAAAAAAGGGAGCCUCCCUCUGUUACCUUACUCUCAUCUGACCCUUAUCUGGAGCACUGUUGGGUUCAAUUCUGAGCAUCACAGUUUUGUUUUUUUUUUAACCCUUACCUCCUGUCUUAGAAUCAAUACCGAGUUCCAAGGCAGAAAAGCAGUAAAGACUGGGCAAUUUGGAGUUAAGUGACUCGCCUAGGACCACAUAGUAUAGGAGCAUCACAGUUUAAGAAGGAAAUUGUUACACUAUAGAACAACCAGAGAAGGCUAACCAGAAUGGCAAAGGGUUCUUUGUUCAUGUUAUAUGUAAAUACAUUGAAGGACCUGGGCAUUUUUAACCCUGAGGAAGAAAAAACAAGAAAAUUGGGGGCCAAAGGAAGGAGAAAGGCAUAAAGGAGUAUUCAGGUAUUUGAAGGGCUAGGAAAUAAGGCUUUGGCUUGAUCCAUUUGGCUUCAAAGGGCAGAUGCAAGGAGAAACAUUAAUCAAUAAGCAAUCACUUUAUUAAAUACUUUUUAUGUGCCAGGUACUAUGCUAAGCAUUAAGGAUACAAAGAAAAGAUAGCUAGGUGGUACAGUGAGCUGAGCGAUGGCCUGGAAUUAGGAAGUUCAAUUCCAGCUUCUGACACUUACUGGCCCCUAUGACUCUGGGCAAGUCAUUUAACAUCUGUUUGCUUCAGCUUACUCAUCUGUAAAAUGGGAAUGAUAUUAACACGUACCUCUUAGGGUUGUUGUUGGGAUCAUCCAUGAUAAUAAUUGUAAAGCACUUGAGCAUAAUUCCUGGCACUUAGUAAGCACUAUAUAAAUAUGAACUAUUAUUAAAAACAAUUUCUUCCUUCAAGUAAUGGAGGAAUCAAAAAUAUAUAAACUGAUAUGUGCAAAGAUAAAUAUAGAAUAAGUGAAAGUAGGUAGAAACUCUAAAGAGGUAGACUGAGACUUGAUGUCAGGAAAAACUUGAUAACAAGUAGAGCUGUUCAAAAAGGGUAAUGGACUUUCUCAAGAACUGGGUUCCCCUUCCUGUAUCUUUUUUUUUAAACCCAUAUCUUCCAUCUUAGAGUCAAUACUGUGUAUUGGCUCCAAGGCAGAAGAGUGGUAAAAGCUAGACAAUGGGGGGUCAAGUGACUUGCCCAGGGUCACACCUAUAUCUUUUCACAUGGGAACUAUAUAACUAUUUAUCUGUUAUGUUAUAUUGGGGAUUCCUUUCAUAAAAGAGUUGGGUUAGAUACUCACUUGGGGUCUUUUCUGAUUCCAAAUACUGUGUUUCUAUGAUGAGGCAUCAUUUUAAGGUUUGCAGGGCUCUUUACAAAUAUUAUCUCAUUUUUUCCCUCACAACAAUCCUGGGAGGUGGGUGCUAUUAUAAUCCCUAUUUUACAUUUAAGGAAACUUAGGCAAAUGAUAUUAAGUGACUUGUUCCUAUUCAUACAGUAAGUGCCUGAGUCAGUAUUCAAACACAGAUCUUCAUGACUUCAGGUGAAGCACUCUGUCAACUGUACUUCUUAGCUGCUCUAAGCAUAAGAUAUGGAUACUCUGAAGCACCUAAUGCACCCCUUGUACCAUGCCUUAAAUUUAUUAUUUUUUUAUAGAAAGACCUAUUUUAGGUCCUUCUUUGGAAAAUGUAGAAUAUUAAAAAGGCUAAUAUAGAUUUUCCUUAGGACUUUCUAUAUUAAAAAGAUUAAUUUUAGGUAAGUGGCAUGUGAGAAAAUGACUUCCCAUAUAGGAAGAGAACCUAUACUUUUUAACAGUUCUUCAGAAAGGUGUUAUCUAAAUUUCCUUCCUGCUAUCCUGCCAUUGCUUGUUGAUUUUUUAUUUCCCAGGGAACUCUGUAUGCUACUGCCAAAUCACAGUCCCAGUUUAUUCAUAAGGCUUCCAGUUUUGGGUAAAUCGUACAGGUGUAAUAUGUUUCUUACCAAAGAUUUUUAUUACUCUCUAUUUCCUUCUUUCCAGGAUCAUUUAAAACAAGUUUAGGCCUUACCUGGAUUAGACCAGAGUUAGAAAUAUUUAAAUCCAUCUGAAAUUGGAAGGGAUAGUCAUUGUAGUCUUAUAAUUUAAAGCACCUAAACCCUGGCAGCAGGAAGACGACUGGAUCCUCAAAUCUGUGCGAUCUCUCCUUCUGCAAGAGCCCCCUUUGUGGCCUGUAAUGCAAUAGGGAAGAUAACUCAGUCCACUUAAAUGUUUUCCAUGGCUCUUUGUAUAAGGAGUUUCUCAAAAGCCUCUGGUGACUGCUAGUAUCACAUCAGUUUGGUCCUCUUAGCAUAUCAUAUGUGCACCAUAAAUGUUAAAAACAAAAACUUGGAGACAUUGAUGACCUUUCAAACUCACUGGAUAGAGUCAUCAUAAUUUGGUAGAUUUUUGCAGAAUUUAUUUGGCAGAUUUAUUUUAUCUGAGAUUUAUUUUUGUAAGAAAAAGGAAUCUGAUUAACUAGAUAUAUAAAGAAGGAAAAGAUAUCCUUUCUGAGAUGAAUUUGCAACUUCACAUGCUCUUAUCUGAUCAUUUUAAUUGUUUUCCAUAAAACAAUUGAUUAGCACUAUUUUGUAGAUUAAGAAACUGAAGUCCAGAAGUCAGUCAAGACAUUGAUUAAAUUGGGGGAAAGAUUAACUUUAGAUUGAGAGAUGAGAGAUGGAAUAUCCCUUGUAGGGAAAAACAAGUAGGCCAGUUUGCCUGGAACAAAGAAAACAUGUCAAAAAGACUGACCAGGAGGCUGGAACUAUGUUGUGAAGAACUUUAAAUAAUAAGUAGAGCUUAUAUUUUAUCCUAAAGGCAAUAUUGAGCCUGUAGAGAAUUUUGAGCAGAGGACCGCUUUACAAAUAUUGAUUUAUUAGAAGUGCUUUUGGGGAGGGAGAGGGGGAGGUGAAUUGGAAAGAAGAGAGAAUAGAAGGAAGAAGAAUAAUUAGGUGGCCUUUGCAAAAGCCAUUUGCUUCUAGGCAAAAGAUAAUGAAGGGUUCCUUAAGGGUUGUAGCUUUGUGAGGGGAGAGAACAAGGGAAUGGAUUCUAAGGGUGCUAUAGAAGGGGAAUACACUUAAACAUGGCAACUGAUUGGAUACCAGGAGCAAAGGACAGGAGAAAAUUAAAGUUGACUCUGAGUUUGAGAAACCAUGAAAGGAUCAGCAGAAAUAAGGAAAUUAGGAAGAGGGGAAGAUUUGAGGGGCAAGAUAUUGAUUUGUCGACUUUGAAAUGCCUCUGGAACAUCCAUUUGGAAAUAUCUAAGAGGCAAUUAGUAAUAUAGGGACUGGAUUUCUGAGAGGGACUGAGGAUAGAUAUAUAGAUUUAGGAGUCAUCUAAAAUAGGAUACAUUGAUCUAAAGGAACUGAAAAGAUCAAUCGAGAGAGAGAGAGAGAGAGAGGCCUGGGCAGAUCAUCCACAUUUUAGGGGUGUGCAUAGAUAUUGAUCUUUCUGAGGAGUAGACAAACAAGUAGGAGGAAAACCAAGAGAUAAAACCCAUGGAGGAAAGAGUAACCAGGAAUUACUGUUUCUUUGAAUAUUUUUUAAUAAACUACAUUGUUCUAGGUUAAAAUUCAUAUUUUCAGCAGUAGCAUUGAGCAUUAAUAAUGACUAAAAUUAUCUCUAUUGAAUGUUCUUUUAGGUUUAAAACAGAAUCCUCCAAUGUAAUGAAACGUGAAUAAUCUAAUUUUAAACUUAUUAAGUUGAUAUUCCACCAGAUUUUAUCAUAUUUUAACAUUGAAUUUACUUAACUUUGAUAUUAUAGCUCAGGGUUGACAAUGUCAAGUAAUUAUUAAUACUAUGAUGUGAAUAUUUUCCUCUCUUGGGUAACAAAGACAUAAAACUUAAACAAUUUGGUAUCAGUUCACUAUCAGUUAGGGAUGUAGCCCACCUUUGAGAAUUUCUUUAUUUUGGAAUUCUGGAGAUAAUGUAUUAUCAUCAAUUUGGAGGAAGUUAAUAAAAUUUGCAGAUUUGUGACAAUUAAUAGUAAACUCAACAAUAAAGAUGGAAUUACAGAUAGUAUCUCUAGCUUCCUUCCAAAGUUUAGUUUAAAUGUUACUUUCUAAAUGUCUUUAUAGAGCCACUGCCUAGAAUAGUACUGAUACAUAGUAGGAGUUGAUUAAAUAUUUGCUGAUUGAUUGAUUUAAAGUUAUUGAAAUUUUUCAACCUUUUUUUGUAGUAAAGCUUUCAUCUUGUGAUAAUAUAUUAUCUGUCACACUUAGAUUUUAUUCUCUUUCCAGCUCUUGUCCAAUAAUGCAACUUUCCAAUUCUGUUCUGUUAGAUUAGAUUUAAAAAAAAAAGGCAAACACUAGAAUCCUGAUGUAACAGCAACCUGCUUGGAAGAAAUAUUCUUUAUAAAUAUGAGGGACAACCUUUUUUGAAAUAUUUUUCAUAUAGCCUCAUGUCUCUGCAUGUGUUUCUGCAGUUAUGUAUCAUUAUCAACAAUAGCAAUCAGAAAAGAGUAUAGGCCUUCUCAUUUCCUGUUUCAUAUGUAUAUCAUGAGGUCAUUUAGCUAGCACAUCUUCUCUGCUUUGGUAAGAAUAGAUUAUAUGGAAGUUUCUGUCCUUCUCUAACUCUUGACCAAUAUCUGUGAGCUGAGGGCUGUCCAUACCAAAUAGGGACUGAGAGACUAAUAGCCUUUGCCUUAGCCUCAUAGUUCAUUAGUGUUGCUCUUACUGACCCUCAGAGUACAUCUGUACAAGAUUUUCAGGCAGGAUGUUGUUACUCUCCUUUAAUAGGAAAAUAUCCUACAGGAUUUACAGCAUGUGUGUAUGUGUGUGUUCAUGAAUAGCACAGAGUUAGGUUUUGGAGGUAUUUAGAGUAUCAUAUUCAAGAGGAAGGUAAGCAUCAGAUGUACUCAGAGGAAAAGUACAUAUUAUGUAUCCAAAUCUAGAACCACUUUGUGGUUAGUAUCAUUUUUAUUUCUUAUAUUAUGAAUCAGCAGGAUUUUUUAAAUGAAGGAUUGAAAUAGAUAAUUUUAAUAUAGUCUCUUCCAGUUCUAAUAUUCUAUGAUUUGUACGCCAUGUUAUUAUAACAUUUCAAAUACUCUAGAAAUACUUAGUAGUUGGAGUUUUGUUACUUUAUGAAUUAAAUCUGUUAUCUUAGUUUAUAUUUUCCAGGGCUGAAAUGCUUAAGUAAAAGGUGCUUUUUAGUUGAGUAUUUCAUGAUAAGUCCAUGUUUUUUUCUAUAGCUCCAAACACUUCUCCCAAUACCUUGCACAUGGGAGGACCCUUCAAAAUGUAGAAUGAAUGAAUGAAUGAGGUUUUAUUUCUCUUAGACACACAUUAUAGAAUGGACUUAGAGGGGAUUAAGAGAGACUUAGUCCAUUCCUCUACAUUUAGACAGGUAUCACUUAAAGCUCCUUGGUCUCUGAUCUUGUCAGUCAUUGAAUUGGAGAGCUGUACAGACAGAUGUUCAGUACCAGUUUUGAGAGGAAAGCUGUGUCUUCCAUACUGAUCCUGAGGAAAUGGUGUGGGAGAAGGUGCUGCUAUUCAUCUUAGUAAGGUGCAUGGGUCUUACUCUGGAUGAGGACUUCAACUCCAAAAGAGGAGAAGGUAAGUCAUUGUUUAAGAAUGUUCAUUUAAAAGUUCAUUGUGGUAUUAUUGUAUUAUGGAAAUCGAGGCUAAAAACUCUGUCUCUGUCCCUGUGCUUUUUCAUUAGGGGCUGUAAGCCCAAGAAUGAGGAAUUUCCUAUCUCAAAUUUGACAAAGGUGAUGCAGGGUUACCCACGUCUCAGCUAUAAGCCUUUUUUUUCUUCCUAUAGAUGUACCCAAUUUUGUUCCAGAAUUUUUUUAAACCAACAACCCCUUCCCUUUAUUUAAAUAAAUAUAAUUGGAUUAAAACUAUGUGAUAUGGUUAUUUUACAAGGUGUGGUGAAAAAUCCAUCAACAUAAAAACAUGGAAUAUUUUCUCUCUUUCAUUGUUUUCCUUACCUAGUCCAUUUAAAGGCCAAACUUUAUUAAAUAGAGAACUGUCCUAGGUCACAAUUUUGAUGAACCAUUGAAUACUUUCUGUUAAAGUUCAAAACUCUGUGUCAUUUUCAUGGCUGAGGUAUCACUUUAGUGUUUGAUUUUUAUACAGUCAUAAUCUCUGAUAGUGAAAGGAAAACAUGAGCAUGAAGGUUGAAUGAGUGACUUAUCUUUACCAAAACUGUGUAUUGACUGAUUUUUUUUAUAACACAUAUUUUAUACCUGGGCAGGGAGUAGAAUACAAUUCUCUUUAGUUUCAGAUAAUUCACUACACAGAAGACUUGCUCUAUAGGCUGGUAUUGCAGCCUUAUUAGCAAAAGGAGCAUUCAAUAUUGAAUUACUGGCAUAGUUUCCUGGGGAUAGUAAUUGGCAGUUACAGGGUUUUUGUGUGUUUCAAUAGAAGCAAUUGCUUAGAAUGUGUGAAAUUUUAUAGAGGCACCUCUCAGACAGUCAUUUUUGUUAUCUGUCCUAUAGAUGUAUUGCUUAUUUUGGGGUCACAUUCCUGUUAGUGAAGAUUUACCAAAUAAAAAAGUAUAAGGUUUUUUAAAAGGCACUUUUGAAAAAGUAAUGGUGAUUUAAUUUGAUUUCUUUGAGGAUAGUUCAGUGUUUUUUAAUGUAUCUUAUUGUUGAGGCAGUUCCCAAUUUAUGUAAUUCAUGCUUAAAAUGGACUAUUCUAUGCAAAUAACCAUUCUACACUGGGCAAGUACUCCCCUCUAUUCUAUGGCCCCUGUUAUUGCUAGUAAUUAUCUUUCCUUUCAUGCUUUACUCUGCUUCAGCCAGUCCAAGAGGCAGGUAUACUAGCUGGCCAUUUGGCCUUACUUCUUAGCUUUGCUGACCACAUCCUUUCCAUUUUCAGCAUUUUGGCCUUCCCUUUCCUCCCCUACUACCUUCAGGCUUAGGAGCUAUUAGCCAGCUACCUUUUUUAUCUCAUGUUUCUUCCACCUUCCCACACACCACCACAAUUACUACCUUUUCUUUUUUGUUGGGAUUCUAGUAGAGUACUGCUGUGUGUUCAGGGAUUAGACAAUGAAUGUAAGUCCUUUAGCGAUACCAGAUCCACCUUCUGGGUCAAGUCUUGAGUCCAGACUGGACGUA
Monodelphis domestica (gray short-tailed opossum) is the source of this 30742-nucleotide non-coding RNA. Lineage: Eukaryota; Metazoa; Chordata; Mammalia; Didelphimorphia; Didelphidae. The record is from RefSeq and is a predicted model, not a curated record.